GAGUAACGCGUGGGUAACCUGGCCCAUACAGGGGGAUAACACUUAGAAAUAGGUGCUAAUACCGCAUAACAACAGAAAGCGCAUGCUUUUUGUUUGAAAACCAAGGUGGNAUGGGAUGGACCCGCGUCUGAUUAGCUGGUUGGCGGGGUAAAGGCCCACCAAGGCGACGAUCAGUANCCGGCCUGANAGGGUGGACGGCCACAUUGGGACUGANACACGGCCCAAACUCCUACGGGAGGCAGCAGUGGGGAAUAUUGNACAAUGGGGGAAACCCUGAUGCAGCGACGCCGCGUGAGUGAAGAAGUAAUUCGUUAUGUAAAGCUCUAUCANCAGGGAAGAAAAUGACGGNACCUGANUAAGAAGCCCCGGCUAACUACNUGCCNGCAGCCGCGGUAAUACGUANGGGGCAAGCGUUAUCCGGAUUUACUGGGUGNAAAGGGAGCGUANACGGCAGUGCAAGUCUGGAGUGAAAGGCGGGGGCUCAACCCCCGGACUGNUCUGGAAACUGNACGGCUGGAGUGCAGGAGAGGUAAGUGGAAUUCCUAGUGNAGCGGUGAAAUGCGUAGAUAUUANGAGGAACACCAGUGGCGAAGGCGGCUUACUGGACUGUAACUGACGUUGARGCUCGAAAGCGUGGGGAGCAAACAGGAUUAGAUACCCUGGUAGUCCACGCCGUAAACGAUGAUCACUAAGUGU
RNAcentral lists this ribosomal RNA (696 nucleotides) under uncultured bacterium. RNAcentral's name for it is "partial 16S ribosomal RNA". It matches the Rfam family "Bacterial small subunit ribosomal RNA", at positions 108 to 823 of the family's 1533-position model. The record is from RNAcentral.